RNAcentral lists this ribosomal RNA (253 nucleotides) under uncultured bacterium. Its description in RNAcentral is "partial 16S ribosomal RNA". It matches the Rfam family "Bacterial small subunit ribosomal RNA", at positions 524 to 776 of the family's 1533-position model. The record is from RNAcentral.
UACGGAGGGGGCAAGCGUUAUUCGGAAUUAUUGGGCGUAAAGGGCGCGUAGGCGGCUAGAUGUGUCAAAGGUGAAAUCCCUCGGCUCAACUGAGGAACUGCCUUUAAAACUGCAUCGCUUGAAUCCAGGAGAGGUGAGUGGAAUUCCGAGUGUAGAGGUGAAAUUCGUAGAUAUUCGGAAGAACACCAGUGGCGAAGGCGGCUCACUGGACUGGUAUUGACGCUGAGGUGCGAAAGCGUGGGGAGCAAACAGG